AUUGAACGCUGGCGGCAUGUUUUACACAUGCAAGUCGAACGGUAACAGCACUUCGGUGGCUGACGAGUGGCGAACGGGUGAGUAAUACAUCGGAACGUGCCUAGUAGUGGGGGAUAACUACUCGAAAGAGUAGCUAAUACCGCAUGAGAUCUAAGGAUGAAAGCAGGGGACCUUCGGGCCUUGCGCUACUAGAGCGGCUGAUGGCAGAUUAGGUAGUUGGUGGGAUAAAAGCUUACCAAGCCGACGAUCUGUAGCUGGUCUGAGAGGACGACCAGCCACACUGGGACUGAGACACGGCCCAGACUCCUACGGGAGGCAGCAGUGGGGAAUUUUGGACAAAGGGCGCAAGCCUGAUCCAGCAAUGCCGCGUGCAGGAUGAAGGCCUUCGGGUUGUAAACUGCUUUUGUACGGAACGAAAAGCCCUCUUCUAAUACAGGAGGGUCAUGACGGUACCGUAAGAAUAAGCACCGGCUAACUACGUG
RNAcentral lists this ribosomal RNA (482 nucleotides) under uncultured bacterium. RNAcentral describes it as "partial 16S ribosomal RNA". It matches the Rfam family "Bacterial small subunit ribosomal RNA", at positions 30 to 507 of the family's 1533-position model. The record is from RNAcentral.